Grus americana (Whooping crane) is the source of this 438-nucleotide long non-coding RNA. RefSeq lists it as uncharacterized. The record is from RefSeq and is a predicted model, not a curated record. The transcript is spliced from 3 exons. Lineage: Eukaryota; Metazoa; Chordata; Aves; Gruiformes; Gruidae.
UGGAGCUACACUGAAAGCUACUUUUACAACACUACUGCAGAACAUUCCAGCAUUUGCUCCAGUUUUGCUGCUUGCAACAUCCGAUGUGUGUCACGCAGAUCUCCCAACAGAGAUAAAAGAAUUGUUUAUUGAUGAUUAUGAAGAAGUUUUCAAAAUCCAGUUGCCUAAUGAGGAAGAAAGAAGAAUGUUUUUUGAGGACUUAAUUGUAAAUCAAGCUGCUAAAGCUCCUGCAUCAAAAAAACAGUGCAGCGUGGCGGCCAUUGGAAGUGCUGCCUGUAGCACCACCGCCUAAGCCUCAACAGCUGACUGAGGAAGAAAUCAAACAACUGGAGGAGCAGGAGGAGGACACGUUGCGUGAACUUAGGAUUUUCUUAAGGGAUGUGACUCAUAGACUUGCCAUUGACAGACGUUUCAGAGCAUUUACAAAGCCUGUUGACC